This 298-nucleotide long non-coding RNA is filed under the name Medicago truncatula (barrel medic). RNAcentral describes it as "long non-coding RNA (MTRU_LNC003379)". The record is from RNAcentral. Lineage: Eukaryota; Viridiplantae; Streptophyta; Magnoliopsida; Fabales; Fabaceae.
CGAGAUGACAGGUCAAAAUGUGACCGAGUGCAUCGGUGGGUCAAAGAUAGUCACAUUUGACGAUCUUAGCUCACGCUACCACACACACUGCGAUCCUAGACUUAAUGCUUCACAAUCUCUCGAGCUUGCUUUCAUCAUUGCUGAAAGGCUAAGAAAGAGUAGAAUCAGAUCACAGCCUCCUCUUGAAUCUACUGGAUUUUGAAAAAGGAUUUGAAGAAAAACUCAACACAAUACCUUUGUUCUUUUUCUUAUAUAUUUAAUGGUUGUUGUUUACACACUGAUGUGGUGGACCUGAAAC